Bubalus bubalis (water buffalo) is the source of this 1432-nucleotide long non-coding RNA. RefSeq lists it as uncharacterized. The transcript is spliced from 3 exons. NCBI's taxonomy places the organism in Eukaryota, Metazoa, Chordata, Mammalia, Artiodactyla, Bovidae. The record is from RefSeq and is a predicted model, not a curated record.
UUUAAACUGCAGGUCAAGGUCCUUUUGUGGGUAAUCAAUUUUGUGGGUCAAAACCAUUUUAAAGUGAAAAAAGAAUAUAAUAUCAAUAGAUUAGAACAAAGUAUAUCAGAGUGCAUCACUCUUGGUUAAACUUUUGGUUUAUAUGUGUAUCUAUGUGAUAUCCUGGGUCAAGAUUAUAGAAUAUGUUUUUCACUAUGGGUAAGGUCAAAGCAGUUUAAAGUCAUUGCCCUAAGGAUCAGUAUAUCUUCUUUCCUCUUUCUCUUUGAAGCUUGCAUUCUUCUGCUCCUAAAGUCUGGGUUCCCUGGAAACAGGGUAAGACAGGGCUUUAAGAUAUCUGCCUCCCACAGCAUACUCCUGCCCGGAGCCAGGGCCCCAGCCUGAGGUUCAGUCAGCCAGUCACAGAUUUUAGAGUCAGAGGCAGGAGUUCAUUCCUGAGCUCCAGCACUUAUGAUCUCAGCAGUCCAAGUCACUGGACCUUUCAGAACAUCUGUUUCUCUCUUGUUGAGUUAACAGCAGUACUUGUCCCACAGGCAAUCAAGGAGGUUACUAUGUGAAAAUAUGGUGUGGCUUAGUAAACUCCCUCCUAUCCUUCAGAGGAGGAAAGCAAACGGAGCCCAUGGUUGAGAAAGUUCUGUCUCCUGAGCAGGGAAAAAAAGACUUCAAGGAAUAGCCCCACAGAGAAACUUAAGAGGUGGCUCUAAACACCCAGGGGCUGCAGACAUUUGAAUCAAGAAAGGGGAGAAACCAAUCAGUGGGAAAAGCUCAGGGCUCUCCAAUGAGCAGUUGCUUUUCCUUUCUCUGUGGAGCUGGAGAGCAGGGCUUGUCUGGAGGGGCUGACAGCACACACCGCUGCAUCCGGAGGGGAGAGAUCCUGAUUGUCGUCCUUUUGCAUAAACUUCAGAAGGAGGACUGGUGUUGAACUCUGUCCUCCCUUCACCCAUAGCAGCAGGUGUGACGGGGCUGCCGGUACUGAAGGUCACUCAGGGUGGGCUCAGAUGUGCAAGGAUCAAGAGCUCUACAGAAAAGCUGUUUUGAGCUUGGGAGACAAAAAGCACUCCAGCCUGCCAGUGGAGCUAUGGUUUUGCCAGUUAUGAUGACUCUAAAGCCCUUUGUCAAUUCUUCUGAGUCCUGGAACACUUGAUCAGCGAGUUGGGCUGCACGUUGCUUUAACCACUGAAGAGAAAGCAGCUUCCCAGGUUUUGCCAUGUUUUAUAACCUGCAAUUUAAUUAUGAUUGUUUAACAAGUGUUCAGGAGCUUCAAAUAGUCCCUAUCAACGUUUGUUCACUCUUUAUAACCACAGCACCCUGUCUUCUAAGGAACUCUCUGUGUUUCCAAUUCAAAGAGGGAGUAUUUGAGAAAAAGAAUAUGGGAAUAAGAUGGGUUCAGAAUUCAGCUAACAGCUCAAGGGAUAAUAAAAUGUUUCAAAUUUGA